Molecule: transfer RNA, 72 nt
Filed under: Bos taurus (domestic cattle)
Lineage: Eukaryota; Metazoa; Chordata; Mammalia; Artiodactyla; Bovidae
Also listed under: 2 other names
Rfam family: tRNA
About the family: Transfer RNA (tRNA) molecules are approximately 80 nucleotides in length. Their secondary structure includes four short double-helical elements and three loops (D, anti-codon, and T loops). Further hydrogen bonds mediate the characteristic L-shaped molecular structure. tRNAs have two regions of fundamental functional importance: the anti-codon, which is responsible for specific mRNA codon recognition, and the 3' end, to which the tRNAs corresponding amino acid is attached (by aminoacyl-tRNA synthetases). tRNAs cope with the degeneracy of the genetic code in two manners: having more than one tRNA (with a specific anti-codon) for a particular amino acid; and 'wobble' base-pairing, i.e. permitting non-standard base-pairing at the 3rd anti-codon position.
Source: Rfam by way of RNAcentral
UCCCUGGUGGUCUAGUGGUUAGGACUUGGCACUUUCACUGUCAUGGCCUGGAUUCAGUCCCUGAUCAGGGAA